This is a long non-coding RNA of Lepidothrix coronata (blue-crowned manakin), 406 nucleotides long. RefSeq lists it as uncharacterized. The transcript has 3 exons. The record is from RefSeq and is a predicted model, not a curated record. NCBI's taxonomy places the organism in Eukaryota, Metazoa, Chordata, Aves, Passeriformes, Pipridae.
GCAGGUUCCUUUGGUGUAACUGGAUCCCGUGGAUCACCAUCAAGCCAUUCAGAUUAUGCUGAGAGCCACUACUUGACCCUUGAGAGAGACUGACCUGAAAUUUAAAAAAAAAAGUAAAGAUCAUCCCCCAGUACAUCUCUCCCCCACCGCCUCCUUGCAAAAUCCACUCCCUGAAACCCCCUUUUCAGCCUUCACUCGAGCUGUGAUCCUCACCAGAGGCUGACCCUUCCCAGUGCCUGCAGAUCAGCUCCUCCAUGCAGCCCAGGACUUCACUCCACACAUCAUCAAACACGAAGAUGAUUAGCAAUAAAACCAGCUACAAAACAUACACAUCCUUAAGAAGUCAGCAGCAGCAAAGAUAUUUCUAUUUACUGACCAGCUCAAGGUAGUCAGCAACGAGCACGGC